Non-coding RNA from Drosophila biarmipes, 136 nucleotides. The record is from RefSeq and is a predicted model, not a curated record. Lineage: Eukaryota; Metazoa; Arthropoda; Insecta; Diptera; Drosophilidae.
AGAGCAGCAACAAGAAAGUGCCUGAAUUUAAAAAGUUUAUUUAAGUGCUGAUACAAUGCUGCCAGAGCAACUAUAAUGCCAAGAACAGUUCAGUUUAGUGCAGUCUAUAAACUGAUCUACACGUGGCCAUACAUAU